This 301-nucleotide ribosomal RNA is filed under the name uncultured bacterium. RNAcentral's name for it is "partial 16S ribosomal RNA". It matches the Rfam family "Bacterial small subunit ribosomal RNA", at positions 509 to 807 of the family's 1533-position model. The record is from RNAcentral.
CAGCAGCCACGGUAAUACAGAGGGUGCAAGCGUUAAUCGGAAUUACUGGGCGUAAAGCGCGCGUAGGUGGUUUGUUAAGUUGGAUGUGAAAUCCCCGGGCUCAACCUGGGAACUGCAUUCAAAACUGACUGACUAGAGUAUGGUAGAGGGUGGUGGAAUUUCCUGUGUAGCGGUGAAAUGCGUAGAUAUAGGAAGGAACACCAGUGGCGAAGGCGACCACCUGGACUAAUACUGACACUGAGGUGCGAAAGCGUGGGGAGCAAACAGGAUUAGAUACCCCGGUAGUCCCUGUCUCUUAUAC